AUGAAGCAAGAUAUUGUAGAAUAAAUCGUUUUUGUCUAUGGUACAAUAGGUACAACUAGGUACAACUCUAGUAAAAUGGAAAGUAGUAAAACUGGCAGAUAUUGUUCAUCUGAAACAUACCACUAGUAAACCUGGUAAAACUUGGAGUAACACAUUGAAUAGAUAGUAUUGGUACCACUCGUAUAACUUAUAGUAUCAUGUGCAAAGUUGACAUAGUAUAACUGGUCUUACUAGUAUAACUGAUAACUAUUGUUACAUGUAAACUAGUCUAAUUGAUAAUAUUAGUAUAACUGAACUAACUAAUAAAUGAUAAUGUUGGUUUUU
Molecule: long non-coding RNA, 324 nt
Filed under: Brassica napus (rape)
Lineage: Eukaryota; Viridiplantae; Streptophyta; Magnoliopsida; Brassicales; Brassicaceae
Description: long non-coding RNA (BNAP_LNC010790)
Source: RNAcentral